RNAcentral lists this ribosomal RNA (472 nucleotides) under uncultured bacterium. RNAcentral's name for it is "bacterial SSU rRNA". It matches the Rfam family "Bacterial small subunit ribosomal RNA", at positions 355 to 825 of the family's 1533-position model. The record is from RNAcentral.
UGGGGAAUCUUGGACAAUGGGCGCAAGCCUGAUCCAGCCAUGCCGCGUGAGUGAAGAAGGCCUUCGGGUUGUAAAGCUCUUUUGUCAGGGAAGAAACGGUAGUAGCGAAUAACUAUUACUAAUGACGGUACCUGAAGAAUAAGCACCGGCUAACUACGUGCCAGCAGCCGCGGUAAUACGUAGGGUGCAAGCGUUAAUCGGAAUUACUGGGCGUAAAGCGUGCGCAGGCGGUUGUGUAAGUCAGAUGUGAAAUCCCCGGGCUCAACCUGGGAAUUGCAUUUGAGACUGCACGGCUAGAGUGUGUCAGAGGGGGGUAGAAUUCCACGUGUAGCAGUGAAAUGCGUAGAUAUGUGGAGGAAUACCGAUGGCGAAGGCAGCCCCCUGGGAUAACACUGACGCUCAUGCACGAAAGCGUGGGGAGCAAACAGGAUUAGAUACCCUUGUAGUCCCUGAGCGGGCUGGCAAGGCGCAU